GAAAAGUAAAGACGAGGAGGUAGAGAAGAAGUCUAUUUCUCUAAAGACUUCAAGCUCAAAGUCCUCAAAUAAUGAGAAAGUAAUUAUGAAACAAGAGAUGACAAGAAUUUUGAUGAUGAAGAUAUGUUGUUUGUCAAAAGGUACCAAAUGUAUAUAAGGAAAAAUGGAGUCAAGUACUCCAACAAUAACCUAAUCAAAUUUAGAAGGCUAUCUAACUCCUCAAUGGAAGAAUAAAAUAAGAAGGGUAAAC
RNAcentral lists this long non-coding RNA (250 nucleotides) under Lathyrus oleraceus (garden pea). RNAcentral describes it as "Pisum sativum (pea) long non-coding RNA (PSAT_LNC036930)". The record is from RNAcentral. Lineage: Eukaryota; Viridiplantae; Streptophyta; Magnoliopsida; Fabales; Fabaceae.